UACCCUGCGGCCCCAUGGCUCAGCCCCUUGGUGCCAUUGUAUGCCUGUCUGUCUGCUCUCCUCAGCCCUUGCUCCAGCCCUCUGCGGGUGCUGGGCCUUGCUGUCGGCAGACCCAAGUUUUCACUGUUAGGUGGAGGUGGGGGCUGGGGAGGGCUGGCCUGGCCCUUCUGCCCCUGCUUUGGCCUCAUUGGCUGGGACACAGGGGCCAGGCUGUGCUGACCUCUCAGCUCUCUUCUGGCUGGAGCCUGGACUCCUGUUCUGUGCUGCAUUCGAGUACCUGC
RNAcentral lists this long non-coding RNA (281 nucleotides) under Homo sapiens (human). Its description in RNAcentral is "HSALNT0224405". The record is from RNAcentral. Lineage: Eukaryota; Metazoa; Chordata; Mammalia; Primates; Hominidae.